This 346-nucleotide ribosomal RNA is filed under the name uncultured fungus. RNAcentral describes it as "SSU rRNA". It matches the Rfam family "Eukaryotic small subunit ribosomal RNA", at positions 20 to 370 of the family's 1831-position model. The record is from RNAcentral. Lineage: Eukaryota; Fungi.
GUAGUCAUAUGCUUGUCUCAAAGAUUAAGCCAUGCAUGUCUAAGUAUAAGCAACUAUACGGUGAAACUGCGAAUGGCUCAUUAAAUCAGUUAUCGUUUAUUUGAUAAUACCUUACUGCUUGGAUAACCGUGGUAAUUCUAGAGCUAAUACAUGCUGAAAAUCCCGACUUCGGAAGGGAUGUGUCUAUUAGAUAAAAAACCAAUGCCCUUCGGGGCUUUUUGGUGAUUCAUGAUAACUUUACGGAUCGCAUAGCCUUGCGCUGGCGACGGUUCAUUCAAAUUUCUGCCCUAUCAACUUUCGAUGGUAAGGUAUUGGCUUACCAUGGUUUCAACGGGUAACGGGGAAU